RNAcentral lists this ribosomal RNA (270 nucleotides) under uncultured archaeon. RNAcentral's name for it is "partial 16S ribosomal RNA". It matches the Rfam family "Archaeal small subunit ribosomal RNA", at positions 477 to 747 of the family's 1478-position model. The record is from RNAcentral.
CAGCACCUCAAGUGGUCAGGAUGAUUAUUGGGCCUAAAGCAUCCGUAGCCGGCGCUGUAAGUUUUCGGUUAAAUCUGUACGCUCAACGUACAGGCUGCCGGGAAUACUGCAGCGCUAGGGAGUGGGAGAGGUAGACGGUACUCGGUAGGAAGGGGUAAAAUCCUUUGAUCUAUUGAUGACCACCUGUGGCGAAGGCGGUCUACCAGAGCACGUCCGACGGUGAGGGAUGAAAGCUGGGGGAGCAAACCGGAUUAGAUACCCGUGUAGUCC